AAUAUUGGACAAUGGGGGCAACCCUGAUACAGCCAUGCCGCGAGUGUGAAGAAGGUCUUCGGAUUGUAAACCACUUUAAGUUGGGAGGAAGGGCUUUAGGUUAAUACCCUGAAGUUUUGACGUUACCAACAGAAUAAGCACCGGCUAACUCUGUGCCAGCAGCCGCGGUAAUACAGAGGGUGCGAGCGUUAAUCGGAAUUACUGGGCGGAAAGCGCGCGUAGUGAGUUCAGUAAGAUGGGUGUGAAAUCCCCGGGCUUAACCUGGGAACUGCUUUCAUAACUGCUGAGCUAGAGUACGAUAGAGGGUAGUGGAAUUUCCUGUGUAGUGGUGAAAUGCGUAGAUAUAGGAAGGAACACCAGUGGCGAAGGCGACUACCUGGACUGAUACUGACACUGAGGUGCGAAAGCGUGGGGAGCAAA
RNAcentral lists this ribosomal RNA (420 nucleotides) under uncultured bacterium. Its description in RNAcentral is "partial 16S ribosomal RNA". It matches the Rfam family "Bacterial small subunit ribosomal RNA", at positions 360 to 772 of the family's 1533-position model. The record is from RNAcentral.